UACGUAGGGCGCAAGCGUUGUCCGGAAUUAUUGGGCGUAAAGAGCUCGUAGGCGGCUUGUCACGUCGGAUGUGAAAGCCCGGGGCUUAACCCCGGGUCUGCAUUCGAUACGGGCUAGCUAGAGUGUGGUAGGGGAGAUCGGAAUUCCUGGUGUAGCGGUGAAAUGCGCAGAUAUCAGGAGGAACACCGGUGGCGAAGGCGGAUCUCUGGGCCUUACCUGACGCUGAGGAGCGAAAGCGUGGGGAGCAAACAGG
This 253-nucleotide ribosomal RNA is filed under the name uncultured bacterium. Its description in RNAcentral is "partial 16S ribosomal RNA". It matches the Rfam family "Bacterial small subunit ribosomal RNA", at positions 524 to 776 of the family's 1533-position model. The record is from RNAcentral.